This 253-nucleotide ribosomal RNA is filed under the name uncultured bacterium. RNAcentral's name for it is "partial 16S ribosomal RNA". It matches the Rfam family "Bacterial small subunit ribosomal RNA", at positions 524 to 776 of the family's 1533-position model. The record is from RNAcentral.
UACGAGGGGUGCAAGCGUUGUUCGGAAUUAUUGGGCGUAAAGGGCGCGUAGGCGGUGCGGUAAGUCACCUGUGAAAUCUCCCGGCUUAACUGGGAGCCUGCAGGCGAAACUGCCGUGCUUGAGUAUGGGAGAGGUGCGUGGAAUUCCCGGUGUAGCGGUGAAAUGCGUAGAUAUCGGGAGGAACGCCUGUGGCGAAAGCGGCGCACUGGACCAUAACUGACGCUGAGGCGCGAAAGCUAGGGGAGCAAACAGG